Molecule: ribosomal RNA, 215 nt
Filed under: Klebsiella quasipneumoniae subsp. similipneumoniae
Lineage: Bacteria; Pseudomonadati; Pseudomonadota; Gammaproteobacteria; Enterobacterales; Enterobacteriaceae
Description: partial 16S ribosomal RNA
Rfam family: Bacterial small subunit ribosomal RNA
Source: RNAcentral
GAAACGGUAGCUAAUACCGCAUAAUGUCCCAAGACCAAAGUGGGGGACCUUCUGGCCUCUUGCCAUCAGAUGUGCCCAGAUGGGAUUAGCUAGUAGGUGGGGUAACGGCUCACCUAGGCGACGAUCCCUAGCUGGGCUGAGAGGAUGACCAGCCACACUGGAACUGAGACACGGUCCAGACUCCUACGGGAGGCAGCAGUGGGGAAUAUUGCACA